AUGGCGGACGCGGCGCAGGUGAGUAACACGUAUCCAACCUGCCGAUAACUCGGGGAUAGCCUUUCGAAAGAAAGAUUAAUACCCGAUGGUAUAAUCAGACCGCAUGGUUUGAUUAUUAAAGAAUUUCGGUUAUCGAUGGGGAUGCGUUCCAUUAGGCAGUUGGUGAGGUAACGGCUCACCAAACCUUCGAUGGAUAGGGGUUCUGAGAGGAAGGUCCCCCACAUUGGAACUGAGACACGGUCCAA
RNAcentral lists this ribosomal RNA (245 nucleotides) under uncultured bacterium. RNAcentral describes it as "partial 16S ribosomal RNA". It matches the Rfam family "Bacterial small subunit ribosomal RNA", at positions 86 to 334 of the family's 1533-position model. The record is from RNAcentral.